GUUCCAAGAGUCUUCAAAAGAAGGAUAAACACGAUUGCAUUUUAUGAACUAAUGGAUGUGAUCAUACCAGCACUAAUGCACCGGAUCCCAUCAGAACUCCGCAGUUAAGCGUGCUUGGGCGAGAGUAGUACUAGGAUGGGUGAUCUCCCGGGAAGUCCUCGUGUUGCAUCCCUCUUUUAUGUUUAACCUUUUUUU
Molecule: ribosomal RNA, 195 nt
Filed under: Arabidopsis thaliana (thale cress)
Lineage: Eukaryota; Viridiplantae; Streptophyta; Magnoliopsida; Brassicales; Brassicaceae
Source: RNAcentral